CCACUGCGCUUGGCCAGAUUGAAUCUUUAGUUAGAAAACAAAAAAUUCCCUGGUAGCAUAUUUUUUGUUUUGACCUUUUCUAGAGUGUUGCUGAGACGGUGACAGAGGGAGCGCUGUCGAAUUGAGGAUUCGGGUGAAGUGAGCCUCGGCUCACCAGGGUUUCUCACCGCAGGGCGAGGGGUGGCAGUCUGGCUUGAGUUUGUUUCCUCUUUGCAGCUUUUCACACAACCUUAGCAGUGAAAGGGGGCAUCCACUUUGCUGUGUUGAUAGGGUCACAGGGCUUGUGAUGUGGCUCCUCUGAGGGCUCACGGCACGGUCGUGGUCAACCUGGGAUUUGAACCCAGACCUCUCUGCUCCCUGUCCAGCGUUUCUCUGGUGUGCCCAGCAUGGGGGACACAGAUCCCAGUUGGGCCCAUCAGCUGGAGGCUCAGACCCACAGCCUUCUGUGGGCAAUGCUUAGAAAUGG
This 466-nucleotide long non-coding RNA is filed under the name Homo sapiens (human). Its description in RNAcentral is "HSALNT0235698". Lineage: Eukaryota; Metazoa; Chordata; Mammalia; Primates; Hominidae. The record is from RNAcentral.